UGGGGCGUAGCCAAGUGGUAAGGCAACGGGUUUUGAUCCCGUCAUUCGCAGGUUCGAUCCCUGCCGCCCCAGCCA
Molecule: transfer RNA, 75 nt
Filed under: bacterium
Lineage: Bacteria
Also listed under: 5 other names
Description: tRNA-Gln
Rfam family: tRNA
About the family: Transfer RNA (tRNA) molecules are approximately 80 nucleotides in length.
Source: RNAcentral